AGAGUUUGAUCCUGGCUCAGAACGAACGCUGGCGGCGUGCCUAACACAUGCAAGUCGAGCGAGAAAAGGGGGGCAACUCCCUGAGUAAAGCGGCGAACGGGUGAGUAACACGUAGGUGAUCUACCUCCGAGACCAGGAUAACCCGCCGAAAGGCGGGCUAAUACCGGAUAUGACCACGGGCGCUUCGGCGCCUGCGGUGAAAGGUGGCCUCUGCUUGCAAGCUACCACUCGAAGAUGAGCCUGCGCGCCAUUAGCUAGUUGGCGGGGUAACGGCCCACCAAGGCGAUGAUGGCUAGCUGGUCUGAGAGGAUGGCCAGCCACACUGGAACUGAAACACGGUCCAGACUCCUACGGGAGGCAGCAGUGGGGGAUAUUGCGCAAUGGGCGAAAGCCUGACGCAGCGACGCCGCGUGGGUGAUGAAGGCCUUCGGGUCGUAAAGCCCUGUCGAAGGGGACGAAACGGUUCCGAUCUAACACGUCGGAGCCCUGACGGUACCCUUAAAGGAAGCACCGGCUAACUCCGUGCCAGCAGCCGCGGUAAUACGGAGGGUGCGAGCGUUGUUCGGAAUCACUGGGCGUAAAGGGCGUGUAGGCGGUCCGCUAAGUCUGAUGUGAAAGCCCGGGGCUCACCCCCGGAAGGGCAUUGGAAACUGGCGGACUCGAGUCCCGGAGAGGAGGGUGGAAUUCCUGGUGUAGCGGUGAAAUGCGUAGAUAUCAGGAGGAACACCGGUGGCGAAGGCGGCCCUCUGGACGGUGACUGACGCUGAGACGCGAAAGCGUGGGGAGCAAACAGGAUUAGAUACCCUGGUAG
This 811-nucleotide ribosomal RNA is filed under the name uncultured bacterium. Its description in RNAcentral is "bacterial SSU rRNA". It matches the Rfam family "Bacterial small subunit ribosomal RNA", at positions 8 to 793 of the family's 1533-position model. The record is from RNAcentral.